This is a long non-coding RNA of Camelus dromedarius (Arabian camel), 973 nucleotides long. RefSeq lists it as uncharacterized. NCBI's taxonomy places the organism in Eukaryota, Metazoa, Chordata, Mammalia, Artiodactyla, Camelidae. The transcript is spliced from 3 exons. The record is from RefSeq and is a predicted model, not a curated record.
GCCAAAGAUCCCCAGCUGGAACUGGAAUGCUGGAGACAACAUCAUCUGCUUUGCCGAAUUAAAGCUUGGAUUUAUCGCCCAAGGCUGUUUGGUGCCAGGCUUGUGUACCUUCCUGACGUCUCUAUUUGUCGAGCAAAACAAGAAGGUUUGUCCUAAAGAGCCCUGGCAAAGGUAUUUCUUCAGUGGCCUGAAGAACAAAAUCCUGACUCAGCGUCUCUCCGACGACUUUGCUGGCAUGAGUUUUCCUGAUGUGUCCCGGCUCUGCUUUGUGAAGAUGCAUCUCAUGCUGAUAGCCAUCGAACACAAAUCCAUGUGUCACGGUUACUGGUACCAGUGGGUCUUCCAACCUCUUCCGUUUCUUUGAGGAGAAUCUUUAUGAUUAAGAUUUUCCCAAACAUGCAGCCGUCACUUAAGGUUUUUGGCAUUUGUUGAGAGCCAGCCUGUUGGGCACCAAGGCUGCUGUGGUGCUGUUAAUACUGUCUCUCACGACAGGGGUUAGAAUCUAAGGAUUGAGGUUAGAAUGGUUACCCUUGUGGGUGGGCAGGAAUUCUGCCUUGGUUCCUGUGGCCUUGCCCCAAUUCCCUCUCAUGAUCAGGGGAGCGAAGAAUUGGUCACUUUCUCAGAUCUGUUUCUUCUAAUCUAUUACCAGAUCUUGUAAGUCUUGCCCAUGAAAUAGAAUCAUUUGUGAUGAAAAUUCUCCCAUAAACUCUAGCCUUAGAAACUAACCUGCGAAAUAUGGAAAAAUGGGAAUUUGACUGGCCUCAUGGACAAAGUAUGCUGUUAACCAGGUAGAUAAAGGAAAGAGGUAACAUUAUCAGACCAACAGCAUUUCCUGAAAACCCAUAUUGGAUAAUGUAAGAAGUAAGAGAAGUUAUUGUAUAAUGAAAAAGAAAAUCCAGGAAAAACAGAAUCAGCCACAAUGAUACAGAGAUAAAAGGUGCUGAAAAAUAAGGAAAAGUGGGGCUUAUGUGGG